This 717-nucleotide small RNA is filed under the name Pluteus leoninus. RNAcentral describes it as "eukaryotic LSU rRNA". The stretch from base 230 to 383 matches the Rfam family "5.8S ribosomal RNA". Lineage: Eukaryota; Fungi; Basidiomycota; Agaricomycetes; Agaricales; Pluteaceae. The record is from RNAcentral.
GAUCAUUAGUGAACAACCCGGUGCGGUUGUUGCUGGCCUCCUCUGCCGAGGCAUGUGCACGCCCACCAUUUGUUUCAUCCUUCUUCCCACCUGUGCACUUCUGUAGGCCACCCAGCCAAAAGCCUUCCUGGCAUGCGGCUGGAACACAGUGGUCUACGUUUUCUCAUCAACUCCAAUGAAUGUGUAGAGUGUAGAACAAGGUCCAUAAUGGCCUUAUAAAAUCUAAUACAACUUUCAACAACGGAUCUCUUGGCUCUCGCAUCGAUGAAGAACGCAGCGAAAUGCGAUAAGUAAUGUGAAUUGCAGAAUUCAGUGAAUCAUCGAAUCUUUGAACGCACCUUGCGCUCCUUGGUAUUCCGAGGAGCAUGCCUGUUUGAGUGUCAUUAAAUCAUCAACCCCCACUCCCUUGUGGUAUGGGGUGUUUGGACUUGGAGAUUGCAGGCCCACCAGYUGGGCCAGCUCCUCUGAAAUGCAUUAGCAGAGCCCAUCAUGUGCAUCUGUGGCUUGGUGUGAUAGUAAAUCUAUACCUAGCAAUGUUGUGCAUCGAAUCUGCUGCCAGUCGUCCGCUUCGUGGACAAUCAUUGACCAUUUGACCUCAAAUCAGGUAGGAUUACCCGCUGAACUUAAGCAUAUCAAUAAGCGGAGGAAAAGAAACUAACAAGGAUUCCCCUAGUAACUGCGAGUGAAGCGGGAAAAGCUCAAAUUUAAAAUCUGGCG